RNAcentral lists this ribosomal RNA (160 nucleotides) under uncultured bacterium. Its description in RNAcentral is "partial 16S ribosomal RNA". It matches the Rfam family "Bacterial small subunit ribosomal RNA", at positions 355 to 507 of the family's 1533-position model. The record is from RNAcentral.
UGGGGAAUUUUGGACAAUGGGUGAAAGCCUGAUCCAGCAAUGCCGCGUGUGUGAAGAAGGCCUUCGGGUUGUAAAGCACUUUUGUCCGGAAAGAAAUGGCUCUGGUUAAUACCUGGGGUCGAUGACGGUACCGGAAGGAUAAGGACCGGCUAACUACGUG